RNAcentral lists this ribosomal RNA (465 nucleotides) under Vreelandella stevensii. RNAcentral describes it as "partial 16S ribosomal RNA". It matches the Rfam family "Bacterial small subunit ribosomal RNA", at positions 338 to 795 of the family's 1533-position model. Lineage: Bacteria; Pseudomonadati; Pseudomonadota; Gammaproteobacteria; Oceanospirillales; Halomonadaceae. The record is from RNAcentral.
CCUACGGGAGGCAGCAGUGGGGAAUAUUGGACAAUGGGGGCAACCCUGAUCCAGCCAUGCCGCGUGUGUGAAGAAGGCCCUCGGGUUGUAAAGCACUUUCAGUGAGGAAGAACGCCUGGUGGUUAAUACCCAUCAGGAAAGACAUCACUCACAGAAGAAGCACCGGCUAACUCCGAGCCAGCAGCCGCGGUAAUACGGAGGGUGCGAGCGUUAAUCGGAAUUACUGGGCGUAAAGCGCGCGUAGGUGGCUUGAUAAGCCGGUUGUGAAAGCCCCGGGCUCAACCUGGGAACGGCAUCCGGAACUGUCAAGCUAGAGUGCAGGAGAGGAAGGUAGAAUUCCCGGUGUAGCGGUGAAAUGCGUAGAGAUCGGGAGGAAUACCAGUGGCGAAGGCGGCCUUCUGGACUGACACUGACACUGAGGUGCGAAAGCGUGGGUAGCAAACAGGAUUAGAUACCCCAGUAGUC